RNAcentral lists this ribosomal RNA (263 nucleotides) under uncultured bacterium. Its description in RNAcentral is "partial 16S ribosomal RNA". It matches the Rfam family "Bacterial small subunit ribosomal RNA", at positions 334 to 613 of the family's 1533-position model. The record is from RNAcentral.
GACUCCUACGGGAGGCAGCAGUGGGGAAUAUUGCACAAUGGGGGAAACCCUGAUGCAGCGACGCCGCGUGAGCGAAGAAGUAUUUCGGUAUGUAAAGCUCUAUCAGCAGGGAAGAAAAAUGACGGUACCUGAGUAAGAAGCACCGGCUAAACACGUGCCAGCAGCCGCGGUAAUACGUAUGGUGCAAGCGUUAUCCGGAUUUACUGGGAGUAAAGGGAGCGCAGGCGGUGAGGCAAGUCUGAUGUGCAAGCCCCGGGCUCAAC